Molecule: long non-coding RNA, 1983 nt
Organism: Acinonyx jubatus (cheetah)
Lineage: Eukaryota; Metazoa; Chordata; Mammalia; Carnivora; Felidae
Exons: 3
Source: RefSeq, a predicted model, not a curated record
UUCAACAAACAAACUCUUGCAAUAUGCAUUUACACAAAUGUUUUUACCAGAAAGCACAUAAGACCCAUAUGCUUUUUGGGUUUACACAACCCAAAACAUCUGUUUGAAACGGAAGGUUAAAUCAUUCCAUGUGUAUAGGUAUGUUGAUUGGUAGAGAAAUAUGAAUCAUUACCUGAAUUUUUUUUUUUUUACCCGGCACAAUACUGUUUUUCUCUAAAGAGAUUGACUCACCAAGCUUAUCUCAUCCUUUUAAGAACAUAGUGAAAUUAAUUUCCCAAUCAUCAUUGCAUGGGCAUGAGGCCCGACAACCAGCACUCAUCAAUGGCAUGUAGUGAAAGUGAACUGGCCCUGAGGGACUAAGGAGGUUCUGUCCUUCUUCCCCCAUCUGCUGACUGGAGGACACCAGGAUGAGCUUGAAAUCCUGUGUUGAAGACAGUGGAACUACAUGAAAGAAGCCAUGUCCCUGAACGAUUAUGGAAGCAAAGGAGUCUUUGGAGUAAACAGCCUCGCUACAUGGCACAAAGAUGGCAUGUCACAACUGACUUAUGACACUCCUACUAUUUACUCUGCCUCCACUUUAAGUCAUAACUGAUCCAUGAAUUCAGCAAAAUCACAGGAUAUAAAAUCAACAAACAGAAAUCGGUUGCAUUUCUAUACACCCAUAAUGAAGCAGCAGAAGGAGAAAUCAAGAAUCAAGGAAUUGAUCCCAUUUACAAUUGCACCCAAACCAUAAGAUACCUAGAAAUAAACCUAACCCAAGAGGUAAAAGAUCUGUAUGCUGAAAACUAUAGAACACUUACCAAAGAAAUGGAAGAGGACACGAAGAAAUGGAAAAAACAUUCCAUGCUCGUGGAUUGGAAGAAAAAAUACUGUUAAAAUAUUGAUACUACCCAAAGCAAUCUACACAUUCAAUGCAAUCCCUAUCAAAAUAACACCAGGAUUCUUCACAGGACUAGAAAAAAUUAUUCUAAAAUUUUUAUGGAACCAGAAAAACCCCAAAUAGCCGAAAGCAAUGUCGAAAAAGAAAACCAAAGCUGGAGGCAUCACAAUUCCAGACUUCAAGCGAGAUUACAAAGCUGUAAUCAUCAAGACAGUAUGCUACUGGCACAAAAACAGACGCAUAGAUCCGUGGAACAGAAUAGAGAACCCAGAAAUGGACUCACGAACAUAUGGCCAACUAAUCUUUAACAAAUCAGGAAAUAUCCAAUGGAAAAAAAAGACAGUCCCUCCAGCAAAUGGUGUUGGGAAAACUCAACAGCGAUGUGCAGAAGAAUGAAACUGUACCACUUUUUACACCAUACACAAAAAUAAGUUCAAAAUGGAUGAAAGACCUAAAUGUAAGACAGAAAACCAUCAAAAUCCUAGAGGAGAAAACAGGCAGCAACCUCUUUGACCUCAGCCCAGCACUUCUUACUAGACAUGUCUCCAGAGGCAAGGGAAACAAAAGCAAAAAUGAACUAUUGGGACCUCAUCAAGAUACAAGCUUCUGCACUGCAAAGGAAACAAUCAACAAACUAAAAGGCAACUGACAGGAUGAGAGAAGAUAUAUGCAAACAACUUGUUGGAUAAAGGGUUCAUAUGCAAAAUCUAUAAAGAACUUAUCAAACUCAACACCAAAAAAGCAAAUAAUCCAGUGAAAAUAUGGGCAAAAGACAUGAAUAGACACAUUUCCAAAGAAGACAUCCAGAUGGCUAACAGACACGUGAAAAGAUGCUCAACAUCACUCAUUAUCAAGGAAAUACAAAUCAAAACCACAAUGAGAUACCACCUCACACCUGUCAGAAUAGCUAAGAUGAACAACUCAGGAAACAAUAGAUGUUGGCGAGGAUGUAGAGAAAGGGGAACCCUUUUGCAAUGUUGGUGGAAAUGCAAACUGGUGCAGCCACUCUGGAAAAGAGUAUGGAGGUUCCUCAAAAAAUUAAAAAUAUAACUACCCUAAGACCCAGCAAUUGUACUACUAGUUAUUUAUCCAAGGGAUACAAG